Long non-coding RNA from Myxocyprinus asiaticus (Chinese sucker), 353 nucleotides. RefSeq lists it as uncharacterized. The record is from RefSeq and is a predicted model, not a curated record. Lineage: Eukaryota; Metazoa; Chordata; Actinopteri; Cypriniformes; Catostomidae. The transcript has 3 exons.
CUCAGGUUUUGUUGUGUUGCUCAAUAAAGCAUUACUUUUGACAUCUGGAACCCUGGACUUCGAGAGUUUUCUUACUGAGAGGGAAAGAGACUUCAAUAUUCCAUGACACUGUCAGUGAGACGAACUUUACCUCAGGUACAAGCUCAGACGCAGCUGUCUGAGGGAAGCUGUAUUUAAGCAGAGCAAAAUCUCAGAAUUCCAGUGGAAAACAUCAAAUUAAGCUAUGUCUAAUAUCUCGACUCACUGACCUGUGGAAUGUUCCUAGUUGAAGUGAGGUCCCAGUGGGCUGCUAGAGCCAGAGUCCAGUGCAGGCUGACCCCCAAGAGCCUGCCAUCAGGACUGGCUGGUGUGUC